CUCUCAGGGCAUGGGUCCAGCCCUCUCAGGCCCACGAGACCCUGCCAAGAGGAACAGUCCCCAGAGACCUGGGUCGGGUUCAGGGCGUAGGCUUCCCAGGGCCCACUGGCCAGAGCAGGAUGUUGACAGAGGCUCCGAGCAAACAGCACAUUCCUCAGGGUAAUGGGGUGAGGCCUCCGCCCCUGGAGGAGGUAGGGGACAGGGUAUAUGAAGCGGGCAGGGCCAAGCUCUCAGAAGCUUUGAAGGAGACCCCAGGAGCAUUCUCUGAGCCCCAAGCCACCAUGAAGCUCGCCACCACCUUCCUGGUGUGCUGUGUGAUCCUUCUCAGUGAUGCUGAUGAUGCUGUUACACCUCGAAGCUGUGGGACCUGUCCUUCAAGCUCCUGUGCUCCUCGUGAACCCAGUGGCCAAGCCUGCUGCUCCUGCUGUGGAUGCCACGGCACAAUGGAGGCCAGACUCAACUUGGCUUCUCCUUUCCACGGUGGCCCUGAUCCUGUUUGGUUGAGGCCAGGCUGGAGUGGACAUGUCUCGGGAUAAGAAGCUGCCCUCCUGCCACCCAGACUGGACAGCCAUGCCCUUCCCUCCCCUGCCCCAUCUCAAUAAACCUGGUUGAAAAGCAGCUUUGGGCUUGGUGUUUUCUACCUGCACAGCGGGCUCUGUUUCUCUCCCUGCUGUGAAGAGCAGUGCCGAAGGAAUAGGGGCUUGACCUGGGGCAGUGGAGAGACUGUGCGCCAGCCCCGAGGUUAGGGGGGCAAGUGGGUAUGUAGGUGGGACUUUUGCCAUUUAGCACAUGGCAUGGUGCCAGCCAAGAAAGUCAACAGGGAUGAGGCAAGGAUCAUAGAUUGGACCUGUGGUUGGCACUGGGGUUGGUAUAUGCUCAGGAGACUUGAAUCUCUGGACUGUCCAUGUGCCAGCUGAGCCCUGAGCCUCAGCAGAGUUGCAACACCUACUCCCCCGCUCAUUGGCCUUACCCAGGUCAGCUAACAGGGAAGUGAGGAUGGUCAGCCACCACGCCAGGGAACCAAGAGAGUUUACAGCUGUAAGCAGGAGAAUUCCAUCCAUCAGCCAUGUGGGGUCUAAGCCCCCUCUCGAUUUAGAGGUGGGCUGGAAAUCGCCACCCCAGGAUCCUCAGGAUGAAGGAAUAAAAUAUGGAUUAGAGUGGACUUAGUGGUAUUCUGCUGUGGAAUUAUUGUGACUUUAGCAAUGGAAGAAAUGAUAUCAUUGAUAUGGAGACUGUGGCCACGGGAGUUGCUGCAGGCAGGGAGAGAAAAGAAGAGGUGUGGUAUUGGGGCAUUUUCGGGACUUGGAGUUGUCCUGCAUGGUAUUGCAGGAACAGAUGCAGGACUUUGUAUAUCCUGCCAUAACCUGCUGAAUGGACUGGGAGAGAGUAUAAACUACAACAUAAGCUAUAAUCCAUGCUGUGUAGCAGUGCUCCAAAAUGUACUCAUCAAAUGCAAUGAAUGUACCACACUAAUGAAAGAAGUUGUUGAUGUGGGAGCAGUGGGGGGUGUGGGGAGUGGGUUAUAUGGGAACUUCUUAUAUUUUUUAAUGUAACAUUUUGUGUGAUCUAUGGAUCUUUAAAAAAAAGAUCAUAAAAAAUCAUUUUUAAAAAUCAGGAAAAAAACUA
RNAcentral lists this long non-coding RNA (1626 nucleotides) under Dasypus novemcinctus (nine-banded armadillo). RNAcentral describes it as "lncRNA (ENSDNOG00000050497.1)". The record is from RNAcentral. Lineage: Eukaryota; Metazoa; Chordata; Mammalia; Cingulata; Dasypodidae.